Molecule: long non-coding RNA, 3069 nt
Organism: Apis cerana (Asiatic honeybee)
Lineage: Eukaryota; Metazoa; Arthropoda; Insecta; Hymenoptera; Apidae
Source: RefSeq, a predicted model, not a curated record
UUUUUCUGCUUGGGAUUUAAUUUUUCCUUUUUUAUUUUAAAGAUCUUUUUUUUAAUUUAAUAUGACAUUAUUAUUGUUAUUCAUCCAUAAUUAUUUAUUCGAUAUAAUUAUAUUUUAAUUCAUCCUAUCGUUCAUUGUUGAAUCAUGUAUGUAUUCUGCUCUCUCUGAAAUGUACUAUAAUUGUGACCAUGCUGUUCUAAAUUCAGCCCCUGAGAGCUGUUCAAUUAAAACAACCCAGAACGAGUAUAAACCCACCUACUGCAUGUAUGCAUAUAUAUAGAUGGAACACAUAUUCAUAAAUAAUAUUGUUAGCAACCACUUCAUUGCAUUGUUCUUAGUCAAAAACAAACGAACAGAAUGUCGAAAUCAUGUAAAUUUGAAUAUAAAAAGUCCUCGCGUAAUAACAUGUAGAAAAAAAGAGAAAUAGAAAAUUUAUAAUUUGGGAAAAUUAUUAUUAAAAGAAUCAACGAAUUUGCUGAUAUUUUCACAAUAUAAUAAAAGUGAUAUAUUUUAGUUAUUAAAAUUAGUACUUGAUGUCAUAGAAUAUUUUAUUAAUAGAACAUAAUAAUGCUGAUUACAAUUAUAUAUAUAUAUACAUAUACUUAUCAAAUUUUAGAACAUCCGUAUUUGCGGUUUUGUAAAGGAAGUUAUAAAAAUGUUAAAUUAAUUUAAAAAGAAUUUAAUGAUUGAAAUAAUUUUAUAACUUUCUUUUCUAUUUUUGUUAUUUGUACCAAUUUUUAGAAUCACUUAUGAUAUGAAUUUUGAGACCAUUUGUCUCACUAAUUAAAUUUCCCAAACAGAUGAUUCUCAUUUCAAUUAUUACGAGAUAAAAUGCAAUUUUAUGGUGGAAAAAUUUAUAAUUUUAAUUAAGAGCUACAAAUUUAUGCAAAAUCAACAUAAUGAUUUACUUUUUUAUAUAUUUUCGAGCCUGAUAAUACAAGCAAUACAAUACUCCUUCUUUAUUCUAAAAUUGAUCACGUCACUUUGAACUGUCAUUACAGAUUAUUUUUUAUAUUUUCAGACAAUGGACAUCUUUACCAUCUACUUGGAUCGCUAUCAAAAUUCAUCCUGCACUUUAUCCUGCUGUUUGUUGAUUAACCCGUGAAAUGUCACGUUGUGGCUGGCGUUUCAAAGAGGAAUCUUUGUACAAAUUUUACAAGGCGAAUGAUUGAAGGUAAACAAAAUAAAGAAAAAAGAGGGAGAUCGCGAGUAUUUAAUAAUAAUGAGGCGAACGUUUUUUGAGCGCAAGAACGCCUCGGGUUACGGCAAAGGUCCCCUCUUAACACACUUAAUAAAUAUGUUUAUCGCUUCGCCGACUUCCGUCUAUCGGCUGAGUGGGUCCAGUGACGUCACUGCCGUUUUUCUAACGUCACGAUAAAACAAAACCGCAACUUAUACCGGGAUGGCGGUAAAAUAACUGGCCGUAAUCGGAAUGGGCGAGCGUUGUGCAAUCGCUGUACCACGUUUGAUGCAUACAACCAAUUCUAUUUAUAGCUCGGCUUCGCGAUUAUUUUUAACGGAAACGGACAAAGUCGAGGAACGAAACUUCUGGUGAUGACUUCUUCGAUAAGUGGUGCCAAAUUCGUCGAGUCUGAAUGAGAUUUGCCUCUCGACUGUUUCUACUUUAUCUGCUUUGAACUUUACCAGUCUGGUGUAAAGGGAGUUGUAAGUGUUUUUGUGUUUGAUUAGAGAGGAGAUAGAUUUAUUAUGGAAAAAGAGAAAAGAAUUUGGAAAGAUUGUAUAUAUAUAUUUGUGUAACAACGGAAGAAUAAUUUUUAAUUAUUUAAAAUUGAGUGUAGAAUAUAUCAUUUUAUUAAUAUAGAAAGGUUAUAUAUGCACAUAAGUUGUUUUUGUAUUCAAGAAAUGCGUUGUAUAUAAUUAAAUAUAGUUUAUAAUUAAAUAUAAUAUUGCAAAGGUUAAUUUUAUUUCCUUUGGAACGCACUUAUACGAAUGAAUAUCUGUGUUGAAUGAAUAUUGUAUUUAAAUAGAGUAAAGAAAAUUUUUAAAAAAGAAUGGAGGUUAGAAAAUUUAGAAAAAAGAAGUUAGUUUCUUGUUUAGCAUGUAUCGUUUUUUUAAAUUUAUUAAUUUAAAUAAGAAAUAAAUUAACUUAACAUGGAAAAAGAAUUCAUAAUUAUGUGAUCCAAAUAUUUUCACUUUGUUUGAAGUUAAACAAAAUUUGGAUCAUUCUUAAUAGAUGUCUCAUGUCAAUAAUCUUUUUAAAAUAUUGAUUCACCGUUUUCUUAAACAAGCAUUUUAAUUGGAAUAUAACAUGUUCAAUUGAAUAUUGCAAGAAACAAGAAAAAUUCUAUUCUAUCGAAGAAAUUAACUGGAAUAGAGAAAUAAAGUCAUAAAAAUUUGAAGCAUCUGUUUAUAAUGUAUUUUUUUAUUUUGUAAUAAAUGCUUGAAAAAAAAAUGAAAAGAUUGAUUCGAAUAACAGGCAAAUAAUGUAACAAUUGAGAUAUUUAAAUAAUGGAAUAUUUAUUAGAUAUAUUUUUGAAUAAUGAUAAUUCUCAAUUUUAUUUACGAUCGAAAUGUAGAUCUGCAAAUUUUUGGCAAAGAACCGAUUUAUUUUCUUGAAUAUUUCAUUACAAAAUGAAGAAUUUAUUGCCAAAAAUUUAUACAUUUACAUGCUUCGUUUCAAAUUUCAUCAUAAAAUUUUCAAUAUGAUCUAAUGAAAUUAUAUUUUAUAUUAAAUAAAUUCAUACAUUCACAAUUAUAAUUAUCAAAUAAUUUUAAAAUAUAUCCAAUCUCAUUUUAAAUUUAAGAUAAAUAAAACUUUUUUUCAAAUUGCAAAAUUAUUAAUUGAAUAUAAAAGUUCCAAUUGUUCUCGAAAAUAUUCAAUGCAAAAAUUCCUAAUAGAAUUUUUAAUAACAUUUUAAUUCUAAAAACAUUAUAUAUCAUAUCAUUAAUGUUUACUGUUAACUUUUGUUAAUUUUUUAAAAAUAACUGAAAUAUGAUCAAAAUGUUUUCAAUGUUUCGUUUAUUACAUUCGUUUAUUUUAAUUAAAUUUCAAUAGAUUAAAUUUCUUUCUUUUUAUUUAUUUUACCUGAAAAAAUUACAGUUCCUACA